UGGUUGCAUCUUCUAGCUCAUUCGUUGUUCCAUCUCUUAGUCUCCAUAUGUCAUGCUCAUCCUACUUCCUACGUUAUACCAUUCAAUUACCCACCUAUUGGCAGAAUCUUCAUCUCAGCCCUAUAUCAAGUCUCCAUAUGUUAUGCUCAUCCUACUUUCUCCGUUAUACCAUUUAAUUACCCACUCAUCGGUAGAAUCUUCAUCUCAGCCCUAUCAAGCUACAUAUCAAGCAUCCUUGAUUCAAGAAAUUUUGAAUUUUGAAUUUUAAAUUGACUUUUCUAUUUUGAGUUUUGAAUUUCAAAUAGCAUAAAUUUAGGAUUGAUCCUAAAGAUCCAUUUAUUAUUUCUUCUAUCUUCGUAUCAUCCUAGUUACAAUCUUUUGUAUAUUCUCAACUAUAAAUAUACAUGAUUACCUAAUGAGAGCAAGUAGGAAAAAUUUUUCACAAUAUUUUCUUUUCCAUGUAUUCUUCUUCCCACAUGGUACCAAAGCCUUCAACCUUAGCUAUCUCCAUGGCAUCCUCCUCAAACUCCAUGCCUACACUUACCACUCUGCCUUCAAUUAUUGUUUAACUUAUCCAAGAUAUUGUUUAACUUAACCAAGAUAAUUUUAUUAUUUGGAAGGCACGUAUUCAACCUCCCUUAAUAGCCAACCGACUAUGGAAUUUUGUAGAUGGCACAACCUCGCC
RNAcentral lists this long non-coding RNA (685 nucleotides) under Phoenix dactylifera (date palm). RNAcentral describes it as "long non-coding RNA (PDAC_LNC019469)". The record is from RNAcentral. Lineage: Eukaryota; Viridiplantae; Streptophyta; Magnoliopsida; Arecales; Arecaceae.